This is an unclassified non-coding RNA of Vespa mandarinia (Asian giant hornet), 1578 nucleotides long. NCBI's taxonomy places the organism in Eukaryota, Metazoa, Arthropoda, Insecta, Hymenoptera, Vespidae. The record is from RefSeq and is a predicted model, not a curated record.
AGAUCUCUUUAAUGGCGCACUUGCCACAACGAUACCUUCAGUUUUUGAUAUAGACUCGGACUCUUCUCAUCAUUCUUCUCUCUUUCUGUUUCGCGCACGCGCACCACUUAAACCGUACGAAGAUCCGCACGUAUAAAUUACUUACAUGCUAAGCUUUCCCGACCGGAUUCGUUCUCCUUUUCAAAACGCACACGCACGAUCAGUUGCUCUUUGCGAAUCGAUCGACCUAUCGUAUCGUAUCGUAGCUGCGAACAAAUUCAUCGACUCCAAAGCACCAAGAUGACUGAUUACAAAGAAAUUUUUGAAAACAUAAAAGAUCCCAUGGUUGACACAUGGCCGUUAAUGGGCUCUCCAGGGCCGAUAAUCUGCAUCGUUUUACUAUAUUUACUUUUUGUUAUCAAAAUUGGCCCGAAAAUAAUGGAAAAUCGUCCGGCCUUCGAACUCAAAGGCUUUUUAAUAGCGUAUAACGCGUUGUUAAUUGUCUUUAAUAUAUGGUUAACAUCCUUGACUACAAAAAUCGAUCUCAGAGCUUUGAUUCGUUCGAACGGAUGCAGAUUGCGAACCCAUCAAUUGUCCAAAGACGAAUCUUUAGAAACCCCGAUCGAUGAACAGUUACAAAUUUUAUCAACGGCAGCCUGGUGGUACUUCUUCGCUAAGAUUAUCGAGCUUGUAGAUACGGUAUUCUUUAUUUUGCGAAAGAAACAGGACCAAGUGACUUUCCUUCACAUUUAUCAUCAUAGCGCCACAGCCUUGUUCGCGUGGUGUUAUCUGAAGCUACUUCCCGGUGAACAAGGUAUCAUCGUCGGACUACUCAACUCUAUGGUUCACAUCGUUAUGUAUACGUAUUACUUGAUAUCCGCAUUGGGCCCAAAAUACAAAAAGUAUCUAUGGUGGAAGAAAUAUAUGACCUUGUUCCAACUGAUCCAAUUCGUUAUAAUGAUCGUUUAUCUUGUAUUAACGUUGGUGAUGGACUGCAGAAUGCCAAAAAUCUUAACUUACUGCUUCAUGACGCACGUGGUGAUCUUCAUGUACCUAUUCGGUAAUUUCUACAGGAAAGCCUACAUCAAGCAGAAACAAGUGUAAAAUAAUUCGCCAAGGACAAUAAUAGAUAGAUAAAUAUGCACAUACAUACAUGUAAAUCUAUUACGAUCUAAUAUAUAAAUUACGAUCUUAUAUUUAAAUUACGUAAAAAGUUCCGAUAUAAAUUGUCAUAAAUGAUCAAGAUUAUAAUCCUUAGAUGGAAUUCGUUAUUCGAAAUUUCUAAUGGUGAAUUAGAUUAGUUCCUUUUUCAUCGAUCGAUCGAUCGGUUAUACGCCAAUUAAGAUAAAAGAAAAACCCAGAAAAAUAUUUCUUUAUCAAUUAUUACUGUUUACGAUCUUCGAGAUGUAGAGUCGAUGAAACCUAUAGAUCUAUCUUUGCGAAUCGAUAGCGAGACAAGAUUUGUGAUGGGCCACAAACAUUUAUGGUUUCAUGAUAUUUUUCGCAAAGAUGAAACCAACGACGUACAUUAAAUAAUAAUAUACGAACGAAGAUAAUGUCGAAUUAAUGAAGAAAAAUAAAUAAAUAUAUGUCCUAUUA